GAGCCCGUAGCUCAGUCGGUAGAGCGGUUGACUUUUAAUCAAUAGGUCACAGGUUCGAUCCCUGUCGGGCUCA
RNAcentral lists this transfer RNA (73 nucleotides) under Hirschia baltica ATCC 49814. It matches the Rfam family "tRNA". From Rfam's summary of the family: Transfer RNA (tRNA) molecules are approximately 80 nucleotides in length. Their secondary structure includes four short double-helical elements and three loops (D, anti-codon, and T loops). Further hydrogen bonds mediate the characteristic L-shaped molecular structure. tRNAs have two regions of fundamental functional importance: the anti-codon, which is responsible for specific mRNA codon recognition, and the 3' end, to which the tRNAs corresponding amino acid is attached (by aminoacyl-tRNA synthetases). tRNAs cope with the degeneracy of the genetic code in two manners: having more than one tRNA (with a specific anti-codon) for a particular amino acid; and 'wobble' base-pairing, i.e. permitting non-standard base-pairing at the 3rd anti-codon position. Lineage: Bacteria; Pseudomonadati; Pseudomonadota; Alphaproteobacteria; Hyphomonadales; Hyphomonadaceae. The record is from Rfam by way of RNAcentral.